Molecule: ribosomal RNA, 422 nt
Filed under: uncultured bacterium
Lineage: Bacteria
Description: bacterial SSU rRNA
Rfam family: Bacterial small subunit ribosomal RNA
Source: RNAcentral
GGAAUAUUGGACAAUGGGGGAAACCCUGAUCCAGCGACGCCGCGUGGGUGAAGAAGGCCUGCGGGUUGUAAAGCCCUUUCGGUGGGGAAGAAAAGUUUCGACCUAACACGUCGGGACCUUGACGUAACCCACUAAAGAAGCACCGGCUAACUCUGUGCCAGCAGCCGCGGUAAUACAGAGGGUGCGAGCGUUAAUCGGAAUUACUGGGCGUAAAGCGCGCGUAGGCGGCUUUGCAAGUCGGAUGUGAAAUCCCCAGGCUUAACCUGGGAACUGCUUCCGAGACUGCAUCGCUAGAGUAUGGGAGAGGGAAGUGGAAUUUCAGGUGUAGCGGUGAAAUGCGUAGAUAUCUGAAGGAACAUCAGUGGCGAAAGCGACUUCCUGGACCAAUACUGACGCUCAUGUGCGAAAGCGUGGGGAGCAAA